This 4063-nucleotide long non-coding RNA is filed under the name Sus scrofa (pig). Its description in RNAcentral is "lncRNA (ENSSSCG00025056929.1)". Lineage: Eukaryota; Metazoa; Chordata; Mammalia; Artiodactyla; Suidae. The record is from RNAcentral.
AAGAGAGUCUAGACUGUGUUCAUCUCUUUAUUCAGCGUGUCCUCUCUGGUGCCUCUUCCCAAGAUUUCGCACAAUCCCAAAUCUGUAAUUAGAGAAGUAGUAAGACACUUUUUUAAAAGUCCGUUUAGCCCACAACACUGUCAUCUCCAUGCACACAGGAUGCACAUUCUCACUCCUCACAAGGUGGCACAAAUAGGGUGCACAAUGAGUAAUUAUUUGGUUGAAUAAAAAAAUAUGAACUAUACCAAAGUGAAAGAAUAAAAUAAAUAUUAAUAACAGCAGCUAACAAUUAUACAGUCUUAUUCUCCAGAGAGAAAUUUGGGUCCUUGGUUGGCUGAAUCAGUGGCUGCAAAACUUGUGGACACAACUCAGUGGUAUUCAUUGUGCUACGUGAUUUUAUAUUAGAGACUUGAGCAUCCAUGAAUUUUGGUAUCUGUGGGGGCUCCUAGAAACAAUACCCUACAGUCAGUGAGGGAAGACUGUACAGAUGUUAACUAUGUGUCAGGAACUGGUUCUAAGGCCUUACAAAUGUUAACUCAUUUAUUUAUCCCCAUGAACCUAAAGUACAAAAUUAUAUCCACUUUACAGUUGAGGAAAGUGAGGCACAGUGGGAUUCAGUUGCUUAGGGCCACACUUUGGUGAUACAGCCAGGAUUCAAACCCAGGCAGCCUAUAUUCUAGAGUCUCUUUCCUUACCAACUAUAUUAUAUAGUGCCUGGCCAGUGGCAGAGGUUGGCCAAUUGUCCUUAUUUCAUAAAUGACCAUCCCAGCAACCAUCCCUCGGAGGAGAGCAACCACUGCCACUGCUUUUCUGGAAUGACUACCAAGAGCCAGGCACUGUCCUAAUAAGCACGUUACGUGCUAUUUCAUCUAGUACAACAAAUUAUUUACCCCACAGAUUAAAUAUCAGGCACAGAAAGGUGAAUCAACUUGCCCAAGGUCACACAGCGAAGAACUGGCACAGCUAGAUCUCAGUUGAGCUCUAUCUUCCAGUGAAGUAUAAGCUCUUAAUUACCACAUAAUGAUUCCUUCUACUUGGAAAGUUAUAUACUUUUUAAAACUUGUCUAACAUGUAUGGCAAGAAUACUCUGAAGCAAUUUCUUGGACCCUGGUUUUCACUGCUCUCUUCAUACUGCCCUAGAAUGCUAUUUAGUCUCACCUCUUACAACAAAGUCACAUUAUACACAGAUUUAAGUAGUAUGAAACCACCUAUACAAGCAUAGGGAUGGAAUAAGUCAGUGAGAGAGUUGACGUUAAUGGGUAAAAUCUAGUGGGUAACCCCACUGCCAUGUUAUUUAAAGGACACAAGUCCCCGAGGGAGAUGGGAGGAACUGAAAUCCCAAUGCUCAUCCCCAAAUGCUCACUAGAUGGGCAUCUCAGCACAUGACUGGGACUCUAAUGCUUAAAGAUAUUAAGUUAUAUGGCUAAUUUCAAAGACUUUUAAAGCUAAUUUUGAUUAUAAAGAUUUUUUUGCCUAUUGAAACAUCUUUAGAGCCUCUCCUUCAUGUGGACUAGACUCCACUGUACAAUGGCUGCAGUGUGCUAGAGACAUACUGGAACUACAAAGAGGAACAAAGACUAGCUCAUGUCCUGAAACAUACAUCUGGUCUACUUGCUAAGGGAGAGGUGAACACUCAGUAACAUGAUAACCAGCUCAGAGGUGGAAGAAAUAGUAACAAGGGCUCAACUAGAUACUAAACUUCUGAAUUAAAAGAAAAGCAGACACAUCUCAAUUCCCCAGUGGUGGGUGACAUAAAGAUGAUUUGUCUAAUAGUGAGAGAAAAUUAUAUGCUGAUUCUUUGACCAUGGAGUUUCUUUAAAAGGAGUUUGCACAAAGAGCCAUCAAGAUAAAGAAACAUUAACUUGUAUUUUUCAAAAAACAGUGAUUUUUCAUUCCCCACUUAUACCAAAAGAAAAUUCAGCAAAGGCCUUCCUCAUGUCACAUAUCAUAAUGAAUCAAUUUUCUUAACCAAACAUAAACUUGACUGAACAUCUCUAUCUGGAAACACUCUAUUAUGACAACAUUUGUGGAACACUGAAAGAUCUGACCACUUCUCUUUUCCCCAAACAGCACAAGAAACCCAGAUAACAAAUGAAGGUUAUACUUUGUAACAAGAAUAGACAAGGAGACUGAAUCACAGCAAAACACUUAGAAAUCAAGAGAGAGGAAGAAAAGUACCAAGAGAUUAAAGGCAAGGAGAACAAUAAUAGGAAGGAAAUCUCUUGUGAAAAGAAUCAUCUGAUGGUAACUUACUCAGGACAAAAAUGAAUUAAAUCUCUACUUGAAUGACCAAGCUCAAGAUGAGGUAAUUUCAUAAAGUUUAUAGAAAGUCACUUGAAAAUUACACAACUUGUUGUGGUACUCAACUUUUAGAGGGAAAUAAAAGUUCCCACAAGGGAGCUGAUCUUUAGAAAAAUGCAUUUACCAAGUGAGUGCAUGAAUUUUAACUGUUAACUAGGAGAUCAUCCUUAAUUCUUACCUGGACAGAAAAGUCACUCUAGAACUGAUUAAGUUCUUCUGGGUUUCAGGAAGAGAUUCUGACAUAAAAAUAAGAGAAUAAAAAAUUUAAAAUACAUUUAGAAUGCACAGUGCAAGAAAUAAAAAGAAGUGUUAACAGAGCUGGCCCCAGGGCCACUACAGGGUACAAGAGAAUGCUGGGACAAACUCUCAGUUUGUUGAGAAUAGCAAAGGUAUGGUAUAUUGAGCAGAAUUGCCAGGGUGUCAGCAACAGGAAAUAAAUUCUAAUUUAAGGGGUGAAAAAGAACAAAUCAGUUCAUAGCUGGGAAGGAUGCUGGAGCAGCUUGUGGGAGAGAGAAGCUGCUGACUAUAAUUUUAAGAUUAAGGAUACCCUGUGGACAGGAUGGAGGAAGAGAGGAUCCAAGUGGGGAUAAAGAGAGUUAAAGGAGGCAAUGAACUUGAUGGUAUUACCAAAAUCCCAGGGAAUGGGGGAAGAAUACUUCAAGAAACAUGAGAAAACAUAAGGAAAAUACAGUAUGACAAUAUGAUUAUCGCAGUCCACACAAAGUUCACUUUGGUAUCACGAUGUACCAAGUAAAAUUCACUUAUGAUACUGGUUUUUAUGUACAUAUGGUCUAUCUACACUUGUAGAGUAGUGUUUCUCACAUAAACUGUGGUGAAGGAUUAAUAUUUUAAAAUUCCCUGACAGUUAUGGACUGAUAUUUUCAUAAAAUACAAUAUUAUGAAUUGUUAGAAAAUUGCUCUCCCAUUUGCAUGUCAUGGCUAUGGCAAUCUGCAAUCAAAGUUUCUCGACGCUUCUUCUGUUUCUGUACUUACCACAAACCUAAAACAGUUCACAAACUGGCACUUUUACAGACACUGGCACUAGUCCAAUGCCACACUCUGAGCGUACUACUGGUGGGCCAGGAGUUCUCUGUCACAACUACUCAAUCCUGUAAGAAAACAAAUGAGUGAAGCUCUGUUCUAGGAAAACUGUAUUUAUAAAAACAGGCAUAGGGCAGGCUUUGGCCAUGAAUUAUAGUGUGCCUACCCCUGAUCUAGAACAGUGUUCUUCACACUCUAGUGUGCACAGCAAUCAUCUGCUGUAAAAACACAAAUUCUGACCUGAUGGAUAUGGAGUAGGGCUGAGAUUCUGCAUUUCUAAUAGCCUUCAAGUGGAUGUCAAUACUGACAGUCCAUGGUCUACAUUUUGAGCAGUCAGGCUCCACAGACUCUUCUCUGUGAACCCAGAGACUUAGAUGUGAUCUCUAGUAUACUAGGUACUUUAUCCUGAGUCUUUAUUGACCUUAGAAAAGAUUACAUCUGUCAGUCAGGUAAAUGGCUUCCUCUGCUUUAAAGAAAUGAUUAUACUCAGAAGAAAGAGAUAAGGACAGCCUCAUUGGAACCAAAGACACCAAAUAUCAGUUUCCCAUUCUCAUAAUCAGCGUAAAAUGUGACAUAGGUGAUCAAGAAGUUUUGUUGAUUGCUGACUGGACAUGGGAGUGACAAGCUGUGUCCACUAGGAAGAGGAAUCUAGGAUGAUGGUGGGGCUCUAAUUUCUGUCCUGUUAUCUUACCUAAGACAUUUUGCAUUGAUUGAUAAACUG